RNAcentral lists this ribosomal RNA (490 nucleotides) under uncultured bacterium. Its description in RNAcentral is "partial 16S ribosomal RNA". It matches the Rfam family "Bacterial small subunit ribosomal RNA", at positions 30 to 507 of the family's 1533-position model. The record is from RNAcentral.
AUUGAACGCUGGCGGCAGGCCUAACACAUGCAAGUCGAACGGUAACAGGAAGCAGCUUGCUGCUUCGCUGACGAGUGGCGGACGGGUGAGUAAUGUCUGGGAAGCUGCCUGAUGGAGGGGGAUAACUACUGGAAACGGUAGCUAAUACCGCAUAAUGUCGCAAGACCAAAGAGGGGGACCUUCGGGCCUCUUGCCAUCGGAUGUGCCCAGAUGGGAUUAGCUUGUUGGUGGGGUAACGGCUCACCAAGGCGACGAUCCCUAGCUGGUCUGAGAGGAUGACCAGCCACACUGGGACUGAGACACGGUCCAGACUCCUACGGGAGGCAGCAGUGGGGAAUAUUGCACAAUGGGCGCAAGCCUGAUGCAGCUAUGCCGCGUGUAUGAAGAAGGCCUUCGGGUUGUAAAGUACUUUCAGCGGGGAGGAAGGGAGUAAAGUUAAUACCUUUGCUCAUUGACGUUACCCGCAGAAGAAGCACCGGCUAACUCCGUG